CGAAGGGGACUAGCGUUGUUCGGAAUCACUGGGCGUAAAGCGCACGUAGGCGGAUUUGUUAGUCAGGGGUGAAAUCCCGGGGCUCAACCUCGGAACUGCCUUUGAUACUGCAAGUCUCGAGUCCGAUAGAGGUGGGUGGAAUUCCUAGUGUAGAGGUGAAAUUCGUAGAUAUUAGGAAGAACACCGGUGGCGAAGGCGGCCCACUGGAUCGGUACUGACGCUGAGGUGCGAAAGCGUGGGGAGCAAACAGGA
Molecule: ribosomal RNA, 252 nt
Filed under: uncultured Hyphomicrobium sp.
Lineage: Bacteria; Pseudomonadati; Pseudomonadota; Alphaproteobacteria; Hyphomicrobiales; Hyphomicrobiaceae
Description: partial 16S ribosomal RNA
Rfam family: Bacterial small subunit ribosomal RNA
Source: RNAcentral